CUGGUUUUUAAAAUAGUAUUAAUUUAAGUCUACCGUGCCCCACUUGACUGCAGAGCACUUGUGUUUAAAUAAGAAUUUAAACGUGCAUUUUUUUUUUUGCCUUUGUAGCUCCUACCUCUGCAAGAUAAACAACAGUUGUGCAACUUAAUUGAUGAAUAUAAAACGUUCCAUGCUGUCUUGGCUCAGCGUGGGCCAGGACCGAUUGCCGGAACAGGCUGCUAAUUGCAGAGGAGGCACCUGGCCGCUUACUGGGGAUCACAGGCACACCUGGCCCACAUUAUGGUGGGAUGCGACCUGACAGACAGCUGAAGAUGCGCUCAGCCUCCCCUCCCCCCGGUUGGGCUCCCUGUAUUAGAGGUCAGAGCACCAUUUCCCCCGCGAACCUUCUAUUGCUGUUAUAGGACUGCCGGCGUGGGCACCGUACACAGGCCUUGGUGGGUCUUAAACACCUGUAUCUCAGUUUUUAAAGGCUGCUCUAGCGAGCGUAACUUCAGAGACUUAAUUUACGCCGUCGAUAUGAUUUGUUCGCUGUCACCGCAUGUUUAUUUUAAUACAAAGUAAAGAAAUAAGCGCAUGUUUGCUUGGAAAAUAGAUGAAGGCCUAAAUAUAAAUAAGUUAAUAAUUCAUAUGAAAACUAAUACCAUAUUUAUGUUGUAUCAUGCAUCAUUAAACGUGAUAUCCAUUUUUGAUAAUUAUGUAUGUUUAAUUGAUUAAGACAUAGGUGCUUUUAUGCAUUGUCUCUAAUUGUUCUUCAGAAGUAGGUGUGUGUCAACAGUAUUUGACACAUGGGCUGUGUUUUGCAUCUCCUUGCAUAAUUUAAUGGUCCCCGUAUAGUUAACAAUAAUAUGACAACAGCCCUUUCAUGUCAUUUUAUACUUUUUAAGCAGAAAUGAAAUUCAAAAAAAGCUUUUUUUAAUAAUUUCUUUUACUCAGCACUUGGGCUGCGGAGUGAAUGUGCGGUGAGGCGUAUGUGAAACUGGCCGGAUCCCAUUUGGACUUGGUGAAAAUUGUCAUCUUUGUUUACAUUUAUAUUGUUCAUCGUGCAUAGAGAGUGAAUCAGCUGGGCGACUUGUCAAUAUUUUUGUGGUUAUCAAAGGGCCGCAAAUGUUUUUUUUUUUUUUUUUUUUU
RNAcentral lists this long non-coding RNA (1128 nucleotides) under Scleropages formosus (Asian bonytongue). Its description in RNAcentral is "lncRNA (ENSSFOG00015028735.1)". Lineage: Eukaryota; Metazoa; Chordata; Actinopteri; Osteoglossiformes; Osteoglossidae. The record is from RNAcentral.